Long non-coding RNA from Microplitis mediator, 1001 nucleotides. RefSeq lists it as uncharacterized. NCBI's taxonomy places the organism in Eukaryota, Metazoa, Arthropoda, Insecta, Hymenoptera, Braconidae. The record is from RefSeq and is a predicted model, not a curated record. The transcript is spliced from 3 exons.
GCUGUAUACAAUAUCAGGAAAGUUGGGUAUGUCAUGUGAAACUGAUGCCGAUUGUGAUAUAAUAAUCCACGCCAAAUGUUCUAAAGAUAACAAAUGUGUUUGUCGGAAAAACAAUAUUCAGCUAAAUGAAACAACAUGUGCGCCACAGUUAGGAGAAUUUUGUUGGAAAAAUGAAAAGUGUGCAACAGAUAAUUCCGUUUGCAUCAAUAACGAAUGUCAAUGCCAAAAUAACUACUUCUUGGUAUCUAAUCGUUUUUGUCUACAAAAAAUAUUGGGAUCCUCGUGUGAUGAUGAUCUAGACUGUGAGCGAAUUAAAUAUUCAAAAUGUAAUGAAAAUAAAUUGUGUAAAUGUACAUCCAAUACAAUUGAAUUGACUCCGACAUUAUGUGCACCAAUUAUUGAUGGUUUCUGUUUAACAAAUAAAACGUGUGUCCCAGAUAACUCUAUUUGUAUUGAAAAUAAAUGUAAAUGCAAGCUUGAUUUUAAACCAUCAUUAUCUAAAACUAAUUGUACACCAAGUAAGCAAAUUACAAGUAUUAAUAUUGAUUAAUAUCAACAACUAAUGUGAGACAAAGCAAUUUUUUUAAUGUUUCAAUGCAGUAGCUUAUUUGGGUAUGAUUUGCAAAGACGAUACAGAUUGCCUCAGUUCGACCGAUCAUUCAAAGUGUUCUGAACGAAAUGUCUGUGCAUGUGAAUCGAAAUAUCACCCAGUAAGCAGAAACACAUGCGCGCCCAUAUUAAACAUGCCUUGCACUCACAAUGAACUUUGUGCUAUAGAUAAUUCAAUAUGUAUCGAUAAUACAUGUCAAUGCAAGCAAUACUACGUAUAUCGAGGCUUUAAAUGUGUACCAACUAUUCUAAAAGAAACAUGUGAAACAAAUACAGAUUGCAAUGAAAUAGAAUUUUCAAUAUGUUCAAAUAAUCAACGAUGUGUUUGUGGUGAUGAAUAUGUCCAAGCAACUAACACAACUUGUUUACCUAUUCUAAACGGAACUUGUUAU